This is a long non-coding RNA of Columba livia (rock pigeon), 6634 nucleotides long. RefSeq lists it as uncharacterized. Lineage: Eukaryota; Metazoa; Chordata; Aves; Columbiformes; Columbidae. The record is from RefSeq and is a predicted model, not a curated record. The transcript is spliced from 4 exons.
GCCGUGAUUGGCCGCUCCCGCCGCCCGCCAGCGGUGUGGCCCGCCCCGGCCCGGCCCGCCGGCAGGUGCCACGGCAGUCUGCGAGCCCCGCGUCUCUCGGGGCGGGCAUCUCGGCUGCGCUUCCUUUUUUCUCCUUCACAACAGCCGAAAGUUCCCGGGGUGGAGCGGCCCCGCCGCCGGCUCUUCGCAGAGCGCAGCCGCUGCCCCGGCUGCCCGCGGGCCGAAGGGGCUGCCUUUCCCUUCAGCCUGAGCAGCCAGCUUAGACCUUCGCUCUCAAGAGGCUCUGGUGGCGGAGGUUCACCGAAGGGCUUGUAGUUGUGGAGGGAUCUCACGGUCAGGAGGGCACUGUUAAACUUGCUUUCAGCAUACCGAAGCGCCCAGAUGCGCAAGCAGAAGACAGCAGGAUUAACUGGAAAUAGCACAUUUGCAGGUCUUUUGCCUUUAUGUCUUUCCGUCCCACCACCGAAGUAGAAGGGUAAGGAUGUUAACACAGGCAGAAGAUAGUUAAACCCUACUGUGAUUUUAGUACUACCUGACUAUAAAACGAAGCAGCAGCACUUAAUGGAGAAAAGUGUUAUCUAAGGAUGCAAUGAUACUGAUUUCUUACAAAGCCAUCCUUGCAGAAGGCAAAUCUCUGAGCUCAGAUUGAAGAAUGACAAGGGCCUGAUACAGAAAUCUGUGUACUCAUGGGAGCUAUCUCAUUGAACAUGGACUUCUGGAGCAGCCAUGGGAGAGGAUAUUCUUCCUUGGAAGGGAUGGCGGGCAUCACAGCAUAGUGUACCUGUUGUAGAAGAACCAAGGACAACAAAAUAGGCACAGGAGAUAUGGAGACUAACCUGAAUGAUGACACAGAAUUGAGAGGAGCUGUUGACACACUUGAGGGCAGAGAGACCCUGCAGAGGGAUCUGGACAAAUUGGAGAGUUGGGUAAUCACCAACCGAAUGAAGUUCAACAAAGGAGAUGGGCUGUGUAGGAGGAGAAGAGAAUCACUUUGCUUCCAAGAAACAUAAGGAGGAGGUAGUGCUCUACAAAGUUUUGGACCUGUUGGUGUACCUAUGAUUCCUGAGAAGGUUCUGGAGCAACCUAUUAUAAAAAUUGGUUUGUAAGUACCUAGAUGAUUAUAAUCUGAUAAAAUAAAUAACGAAUAAGGAUUGCUAAGAGUAGGUCAUGCCAAGCCUGUUUAAUUUCUGCCUUGGGCAGGCUACGUGGCCUAAUGAGGAAAAAAGGGGGACACAACUAAUGUGAUAAAGUCUCAAUGCCAGUGACAUUUCUGCUGCUUCUCCUUGACACUCCUGUAAGGAAACUCAUGAAAUACAAUGUUAAUGUGAUCGUGAGAAGAAGGGUGAGCGAUGGUUGAAAAUUUGCUCUCAAAGAACAUUCAUCACCUCUUUGCUGUCAAAUUUCAAUUGAAGUUUAGCAGUGCUCUGUUCUGGACCUGGCUCUGUUCAGCAUUUUUCUGAACAGUUUGGAAGAUCAACGAGAGACUGUGGUCAUAAUACUAGUGAAUAGGAGUGGCAUAGGUCAGGGUUGCAAGUACAGUGGACGCGAGCAUCAGAAUUGAACACGUGCUUGAAAAAUUAGAGAAAAUCUGAAAUCAAACAUCUGAAAUUCAGCAAAGACAAAUACAAAAGUCUUCCUCCUUAAGAAGAAGAAAUUCAGCAGACAAACACAAAAUUGGAAGUUAUUAGCUAGGCAGCGUCACAGCAGAAGAAGAUUUUUCUGACUGGACCCUGCAGUAUGACUUAAGAUAGUAUUUUUGUAUCCUACCUCUAAAUGUGAAGAGAAUGAAGCACUGGAGCAAAUUGUCUGUGAUGAUCAUGAAGUCUCCCCUGUUGGACAUUUUUAAAGAACAAGCAAGAUAAACAUAUUUUAAAGAUUUCUGAGUAUCAUUCACUAGAUAGUCUCUCUUUAUCCCCCUGCAGUUGUGGUGUUCUAUGAUCCACAUUACAGAGCUCAAGCUAGGUGUAUGUCAAUAAUCAGAUACUGCUGAGGAAGAGAUGAGCUUUUUUCUGACAAUAAGACUGUCUUUACGUGGGCAGCAGUAGCAAUUGUUCCGUGUUCUGAAGCAGUAGUGAAGUCCCAGCUGGAGUCCUUUGUCUCGUCUCAGCUGGAAGCAGUAGGUGGACACAGUCAAGAGGAAAACAAUAAGCGUGAUAAGAGGUGUAGAAAAUGUGACUCAUAAAAAAAGGAAGGCAAAAACACUGGAUUGAAAAGAGAAGACUGAGAAACCGCACAGCAGCUCAGAAGGGAUUGACGCAGAUGGGGCAACAACUGUGAAUGUCCGUUUAGGGAAGGGAAAGAAUCAGUUUCAACUUUACCUGAAAGAUUUAGGCAGAACAUCAGGUACGUCUUUGUAUCUGAAAGCAUGGCAAAGUUUUAGGACAUAUAACCAAGGGGAACUGAUUUCUUAAAAUGAGAAGAUGAAAGUAUCAGAGAUGGUGUCCAGAAACUUUUAGCCUGCUCCAGUGUAGAAUGCUGGACGAGGUGACCUCCUGAGACUCCUCCUAACCUGCCAGAUCUGUGAAUUUAUCUUUAGCAAGCAUUUAUUUUGGCAUGUAGACAAAGUAUAGGGAAAGGAAGCCAAAUGAAUAUAUCUGGAAACAUCACUGACUUCGAUAAUUAGCACGAGCCUUUUCUGAUGAAAAUAAAAAACCCUAUGUUGCAACAUGCCGCUGUCAGGAUGAUUUAUAAACAUAAUUAUUAUUCCGUUGUUUUUGCAAUUUAUACAGUUCCAGACUCCUAUUAAGGCCUGAAUUUGCUUACAAGGGCCAGGCCACCAUGUAACUUGUGGUAUUUGUGUCCUGCUCUUGUUUAUGCUUUGAUAAGUGUAGUGAAUUUUGGAGGACAUAUUUUGUGAAUCUCUGCAUGGGUCACAAUAUGCUGUUCUUUCAGAAAAAAAACAUGAAUCACAAAGGCAUUACUUUUGGUCUGCCAGUGUCAUUAAGAGUCUAUUGGAAGCUCAUUCCAUUGGCAUAGUUAAAUACAUUUCUGGUAAUUCUCAUCCUGCAGAUUUAUUUCCAAUUUGCUAAAAUCAGCUGGUAAGGGCUGGGACUGCUGCCAGAACACGCCUUGACAUCAAAAGUCUUCAGAUCCUCCAUAAGCAUCUGCUUAAUUGAAGUGGCAGAAAAAGUGUCUGCUGCUUCACCUCUGUUCAGUGGUAAAAAGAAACUGUCUUUGCAUUUGAUAUAUUGGAAAAAGCUGAAAUGUUUGACUGCUAGGUGGAAGAUCAUCCACUGAAUGUGAACCCAAUAGUGACACUGUUUCAUGUGUUUCUGCAUAGAAAUCCGAGUGCAGUAGACACAUGCUGUGCUCUUUCAAAAGCCAAAGAAAUUGCCUUCUUUUCUAGUUAUCUGUAUUACUGUUUAGUGCCUGAGAGGCAAACCUGUUAGUGACUUUUCAUUUAACCAUAAUACCUGCAAAGAUCAUUUCUCUGGAGGAAAACCCAUCUCAUGCUGUAUUACUGGAUAUGUUGGCAGGCAGAAAUAGUGAGCCUCACAUUCCCUUUCCUUAGCAGAGAAUUUGUCAAGAAAACAACCCUUACUAGCUAUGCAGUUGCAUUGAUGUUAAACGAGACAUAAUGACUCUGGGAUAUGUAGUAUGGGUACUGUUAACUGUGGAGUUAAAUGCCAAAAAGAUGAAAAAUAUAUUAAUAAAUGCUUUAGCCAGAAUAUCCACCUUUUGUAAGAUAAAGAAGGGAUCUUAGAACUAAAAAUUCCUCCAUUAAUUUGCCUUACAGCCACACAUUUCAAAGCAGGCAUCUGAGUCCUGCUGAACAGGGCUGCAUGGAGCAGAGAUGGGACACGGCAGGAGAGCUGCUGGGACAGGGGGAAAGGCAACAGCGGUGGUGGGUGACUCGAAGAAGCCUUGCGGGUUGAGGACAUGGGUAUAAACAUGCUUAUCCACAUCGUGCCCCCCCAGCAAGGCUGUCCCAAGCCCUCCUGGCCCAGCAAAGUGGAAGAGCUGCCUCAGCCAGCUGAACAGCUCCAGCCUAGCAGGAGCAGUGCCGUGUGCUGCUGCUUCUGGCUCUCUCUGGGCACACACAAUGGAUUUCCCACCCCAGGGGAAGAGCUGAAGCUGGUGAGGAGCACUGUGGAUGGGUGGGAGGGAAGCAUGGGGGAACUUUUGCCCUUUAGGAACAAAAAUGUAGACCUCCAGACCCACCCUGGGCUUGCCCUGCAUGAACAGGCAUGGUACAGGGUGUAUUUGAAGUGUUACUUUAUGUAUGGUUUUAUCUGAGAGCCUGAGAUCAUGACAUUACAUUUGUCUAUCAGUCAGACUUAAACAUGUAGGGGAUUAAGGCUUUGAUUUGAUUCAGGAAAACAUUUCAACAAGAAGUCACGUCUUCAGCAGAAAAACACUUCAAGGGCUAUGCUGAAUCUGUAAUAAAAAACCUUUUCUUUGAUACUGUAAAGUCUCUGUCAAGAAAGGCAGAUUUCUAAAUGUCUUUAACGGCACUAGCUUAGGCAGUUAUAACAACAGAAUUAAAAAAUGCUAUUGGAAGGGAAAUUAAAAGUAUAUGGCACUUACCAGAAACACUUUAGAUACACUUAAAUGCAGAAAGUUGUGUCAUGCUCCUUAAUCAGUCAUUACAAAUCUGAAAUUCCUAUCAAACACUGAUGGAUGUUUUGUCCUAGUGCAGACUGUAGAACUAUUUACUCUAGGCGCUUCUAACAAAUAGCUUUAACAGGGGUUGUUUUUUUCCCUUUUCACUUUUUUUCCUAAGCUGCUUCUGUAAUUAUGAAACUUUGAGUCUUCUUAUCUUUAUAAUCAUAUCUUGUUAGACCCAACUGUAUAUAACUGAAGAAUGAGCUCUUCCUUUCCUUUGAUAGAGGAAGGCAUAAACCAAACGGACUGGCUGGUACAUAAAACCAGAAAAAUUAAAAUAUAUGUCUUUGAGUACAGUUAUGCAUUGGAACAGACUAAUACGGGACACAGCAAAUUAUCUUCCAGAAGUUUUUAAAUGAAGACUAGAUCCUUUUCUGAAAAUUGACUUUACCAAAAAAUGCCUUGUUGACGGAAACUGGGUGAUGUCUAGUUGCCUCAGUUAUGAAGAAGGUCAGAUAAGAUUAUAUUAAUGGCCUUUUCCAGCUUUAGAAUUGCUGAAUGUUUUAUUGAAUGAGCAAGAGAGUGAAUUUUAAGUACUCAAUUGUUUUAAAUGGAAAAUUCCUUGCAUAACGUAGCACUGUAUUUUCUCCUGCAGUACCUGAUGAAAUUGUUCCUUCCUGAAGAUAAAUAGGGAAGCAUGUCACUUUGCCACAGGCUCUUUAGAAUAACAGACCACCCAAAGGCGUCUUUUUUCUUUUUAUGUGUAACACAAAAAUGAUGAGCACUUCCUAAGGUAUUUUUAGAAAAAUCACAUUUUUGUAAAGUAUGUAUCAUUUUCUGACAGCAGGAUUUAAGGAUAGCGAUUACUCUAUAUGUAUGUGUGUCCUGACAUUUUGAAAGUUUACCUGUUGCUACAGAAGAGAUAAGUAGCACAAUAUUAAUUUUGUAUUUCAGUGAAGAAGCGAACAUUUAAAAGCCUAUGGCAGAUGUAUGACACAGUCACAGAUGUAGCUAUAAAACAAUUGAAAGGGUCAUUUAAUAGUUCUAACUACACCUUUGAAGCAACCUAAGUAGGUAUUUCACACUAGGCCUGCCGUUUUGGGGGCGAGCAAACUCUGAGAGGUGUAUUGAGGCGUUACGCCACUCGAAGUGUGAAGUGCUUGAAGGGCCUUGGUGGCUGCUCAAGUCACUGGGGGAUGAAUGUGCCACAUUUUCACACUCCCCACCAUCAGUGUCCCUGGGGCUACGCUCUGACCAGAAUUAUAAAAAUACCUUUCCCUUUAUCCUCUCUUUCUGGUAGGAAUAACUGCUGCACAGGGGCCUUGGAGCGGUUCCCUGAAUAAUCUACAAAGUAAAAAGAAAAAAAAAGAGGUGAUACCAUGUAGACCAGCUAUUGCAAAAUAGAGGCGCUUAAAAGUACCACAGGCAGCCGUGGCCUCCAGCCCUUCCUCACGAGGGCCUGAGACGUCGCCCUCCAGCCUGAGGUUCUCUCUGCAACGCUGCGUCCACAUUGCAGGAGGCAGGGGCAGAAGGGACUUACCCCUGGCUUGUGGGUCAAAUGCUGCCCAUAGAUCUCUUGCCAGGUGCCUGUACAUGCCAGUGAUUACACCGGUACCCACCUUGCAGGAAAUUUGUAUUGUAGCGCAACCCUUCAUCGGAGUACUCACAUUUAUUAGACCAGGCAGUAUAAAGGGGGUGAGGCAUUUGCAAGGAGACCGGCUUGCCAAAAAGAGAGAGAGAAUUCGCUUACCAAAAUAAAGCUUCAUUGCACAAAGAAGUUGUAGGUCUGCUUGGAUGUGACAUGAGUUUAAAGAUGGGAAAUUCCCUGAGUUUUUGCUUCUGAUGCAAAGUGCCUUUGCAGGUAACUCCUCUGGCAGGCUGGUUCUUAGCUGCUCCUGCAGACCCUCAGGCAAGUUUUCUGGUCUUGAUGUUUAAAAAAAAAUCUUUAGUUUGGAUAAUUUUUUGUGAUUUGUUCUUCAAAUUCCUCCUUUUUGGCCACCCUUAUUGCAUUUUUACAUUUAAUCUGCCAGAGUUUAUGGUCCUUUCUAUUUAUUCCCUUUGGACACUCCUUUGGUUUUUUGAACUUCUU